This is a regulatory RNA element of 111 nucleotides. It matches the Rfam family "23S methyl RNA motif". The record is from Rfam.
UAAUCUCCGACUUUUAUCAGGUGCGUGGUUGCCGGUUUGAUAAAAGUUUGCGACUAAGGUCCACUAGCGUAUCAUCUCGCCGUGCUUAGCACCGAGGUGGUCCGCUUUUUU